AAAGCUUGUUAAGUAAUUUGAGAUUUUCAUAAUUGUAAUGAUUAUUAUGAUAUAUUAAUAAUAAUAAAAUUAAUUUAAAUUUCAGAGUUUUCUGAUAAUUUAUAUAUAAUUAAUGAAUAUUAGAGAUUGGCCAAUUUAUCUUUAUUAGGAUGUAUAACAUUUUUGGUAAAAAACUGAGCCAAUAUUAACACUGUUAUUCAUUAUUUUCACAUCUGUAUGAUAAUGAUUAAUGAUAUUACCUACCAUGACCAAAACUGUCAAAUUACUUUAUGUUAUGUCAGUUCUGAUAUAUGUUAGUAUAUAUUAUGUAUCUACAAAACAUAAAACAUUUUUCUCAUUUAAUUUUAGGUUCUGAGUAGAGCAAGGAAUAUAUUGGUUUUAAAAAGAUGUUUUUUUUGUACAACUAUUUUCCUACCAGAAAUUUUGUUUAGAUUUCCCUAGGGGUUUUCAUAAUAAAUGGGAUAAACCAGACAAUUUAAUGUGUUAUUCUUAAAUCAUAAAUAUUACACUUUCAAAACAUGUAUAACCAAACUGUUCAGAAUCACUUUUUGUUAGUAAAGAUUAAUCAUUAUGUAUAGAUAUAUACAUUAAAUUCCCUGAUAUAUUCUACCUUCCCAACUUUUCACUUACAACAGUGGCUCACUCAUCUUGUGAAGUAUGUCCAUCUUUUAUUUAAUUGAUAUCUUGGAGUAGUACAUUUUUGUAGAAGUAUAUAUUUUUCAUGUUUUAUACUAUUUUAAAUUAAAUGUUUUCUUCAAAUAUUCUCAUAUUUUAUAGUAGAGUAAUAAUAAUAAUAUAUCUAAGAUAAAAAUCAUAAUUUGUGUAAACAAAUAAUCAAAUUAAUUGAUUGUUGAUAAUUUGUAGAUUGAUAUACAUUUGUAUUAUUUUAAGUAUAACUUAAAUAAAACUAACUAGUUUACACUAAUAUAAUUUAUUUGAAUACUACAAAUAUGUGUUCUACUAAAUAUGAUUUCUUAGAUUAUUCUUUCGUUGAAGUUUUAUAAUGUGUUUAACCAAUAGAUGUAUGUAAAAAUAAACAUUUUUAAAU
Cinara cedri is the source of this 1048-nucleotide non-coding RNA. NCBI's taxonomy places the organism in Eukaryota, Metazoa, Arthropoda, Insecta, Hemiptera, Aphididae. The record is from the annotation of a GenBank genome assembly.